ACUGCUCAGUAACACGUGGGUAACCUGCCCUUGGGUCCGGCAUAACCCCGGGAAACUGGGGAUAAUUCCGGAUAACGCAUAUGUGCUGGAAUGUUUAUGCGUCAAAUGGAUUCGUCUGCCCAAGGAUGGGUCUGCGGCCUAUCAGGUAGUAGUGGGUGUAAUGUACCUACUAGCCGACAACGGGUACGGGUUGUGAGAGCAAGAGCCCGGAGAUGGAUUCUGAGACAUGAAUCCAGGCCCUACGGGGCGCAGCAGGCGCGAAAACUUUACAAUGCGGGAAACCGUGAUAAGGGGACACCGAGUGUCAGCACCAUAUGCUGGCUGUCCAGGUGUGUAAAAUACACCUGUUAGCAAGGGCCGGGCAAGACCGGUGCCAGCCGCCGCGGUAACACCGGCGGCCCGAGUGGUGAUCGUGAUUAUUGGGUCUAAAGGGUCCGUAGCCGGUUUGGUCAGUCCUCCGGGAAAUCUGAUAGCUCAACUAUUAGGCUAUCGGGGGAUACUACCAGACUUGGAACCGGGAGAGGUAAGAGGUACUACAGGGGUAGGAGUGAAAUCUUGUAAUCCCUGUGGGACCACCUGUGGCGAAGGCGUCUUACCAGAACGGGUUCGACGGUGAGGGACGAAAGCUGGGGGCACGAACCGGAUUAGAUACCCGGGUAGUCCCAGCCGUAAACGAUGCUCGCUAGGUGUCAGGCAUGGCGCGACCGUGUCUGGUGCCGCAGGGAAGCCGUGAAGCGAGCCACCUGGGAAGUACGGCCGCAAGGCUGAAACUUAAAGGAAUUGGCGGGGGAGCAC
Molecule: ribosomal RNA, 795 nt
Filed under: uncultured archaeon
Lineage: Archaea
Description: bacterial SSU rRNA
Rfam family: Archaeal small subunit ribosomal RNA
Source: RNAcentral